Molecule: ribosomal RNA, 596 nt
Filed under: uncultured marine eukaryote
Lineage: Eukaryota
Description: SSU rRNA
Rfam family: Eukaryotic small subunit ribosomal RNA
Source: RNAcentral
GUUAAAAAGCUCGUAGUUGGAUUUCGGAACCGGCCGAUUGGUCCGUCCUCUGGAUCGUGUACUGAUCGGUCUGUUCUUCUUCGCGAAGACCGCGUGUGCUCUUAACUGAGUGGGCGUGGGAUUCGCGACGUUUACUUUGAAAAAAUUAGAGUGUUCAAAGCAGGCAGUCGCUUGAAUAUCUCAGCAUGGAAUAAUAGAAUAGGACUUUGGUCUUAUUUUGUUGGUUUCCGAGACCGAAGUAAUGAUUAAUAGGGACAGUUGGGGGCAUUCGUAUUUCAUUGUCAGAGGUGAAAUUCUUGGAUUUAUGAAAGACGAACUUCUGCGAAAGCAUUUGCCAAGGAUGUUUUCAUUAAUCAAGAACGAAAGUUGGAGGCUCGAAGGCGAUCAGAUACCGUCCUAGUUCCAACCAUAAACGAUGCCGUCUGCGGAUCGGAGGUCGCUCAUGUAAGGCUCCUUCGGCACGCUAUGAGAAAUCAAAGACUUCGGGUUCCGGGGGGAGUAUGUUCGCAAGAAUGAAACUUAAAGGAAUUGACGGAAGGGCACCACCAGGAGUGGAACCUGCGGUUUAAUUUGACUCAACACGGGAAAAACUCACC